This 2532-nucleotide long non-coding RNA is filed under the name Fragaria vesca (wild strawberry). Its description in RNAcentral is "long non-coding RNA (FVES_LNC000374)". Lineage: Eukaryota; Viridiplantae; Streptophyta; Magnoliopsida; Rosales; Rosaceae. The record is from RNAcentral.
CAUACACCUCAUGUCUACCUUGAUUGUUAUGCAUCUAAUCCUUAGUCAUUUAGUAGCGAAAACAACAACCAAAAUGAAUAAAUGAAUAACCAAACAAGUGCAAGACUCUUUCUCCUUAAAAUUCUCAGACUGGAAGAUUGUAACAAGUCUAAUAAAGUAUGGUACGCAUUAUGGAACCUUGCUCCAAGGGUUGGAAUAAGCCACUUACUACACAACACAUCUUUCAAUUCAAAACUUGGAUGCUGAUCACACUGGCUUAUGUGUUUUUUUUUUUGACAAAAGCCAUACGGCAAAUUCAUUGAUACUCAAGUUAGAAUGACACUGAUACAUGCCCUCCCUUACCAAACGUUUAGACAAGUUAAGGACUUGGCAUGCUAGCACCACUAAUUACAAAAUUUCGUUCACUUAUUUCUAAACAAAGAAAUAUUGAAGUACUAAUACUUAGAAAAAUCACACAUCCUAAAAAAGGAUUUACGGUAAAUAAACUAGCUAAAUACUUUGAAUUGGGCUAAAGAAAAACCCUAGCCCAACUUAGAACCCAAAACAGCCGCUAGAUAAGAGUCCAUCUCAAGGCCCAUUCGGAAAAGGCUCACCCGCUGAUCCAACGCCCUUGCACCGUACAGUAUCGUCGAAGCUCCGUCCUGACUUCGAUCUUUGUCAUCCAUACUGACUUAUGUUUAGUAUGUAUGAUACAUUAAAUUCUUUCGAAUUGAAAACCAAGCAAGAGGGAGUGGUGCAAUGGGUAGAAAAUGGUUUGGCAUAUUUAACAUGGUCAACAAUAAUUAAAACGGGAAAAACAUUUGCAUGAAGGAAUAUCACUAGUAUCUCAACUUUAGCUCCUUAUAAACUUUGGUAUAUCAAUUUUUAGAAAUAUUAAAUUGGUACUCCAAGUUUGGAUUGGUACCUAUAGUCAUUAAGCCAGUAACGGCGUCUGUUGCGUGACAUAUUUUCAAGGGUGCUUUUUUCCUCGCGCUUUUUAUCUUCACCAAAGUUUAUACUCUUUUUGCAAGAUUUCUGAUCCAACUCCAUUCUGUAGGGGUGGGCAAUUUGCAUCAAAUAUGCGGUUACUGACUCGAACCGCACCGAAAAAUAAGAUUCGGUAACCGCACCGAACUAAAACGGUGUCGUUUUAUGGUCACACCUCACCGAACCAUAUUAAAACGGUUCGGUUACGGUUUCGAGUUAUAAACCACCCGAUUUAAACUGAACCGCAUCGAAUUACAUUUUUCUUAUAUUUUAUUUUUCUGUUGAUAAUUGUUUUGGUUCAUAACAUAUAAAAAAUUCACUUAUGUUUAAGUUUGCAGACGCAAAUUGCUAUAUUUAAAUGAUAGUUGAUAUAUAUGUGUGUUUGUUAAGUAAUCAAAUAUGAUAUUUUAGUUAGUUACUUGAUAUGGAUGAUAUUUGUAGAUUAAUGUGGACUAAAUACAUUAAUAUGCCUUACCGACAUUGUUAAGUAAAAAUAAGCAUAACUUUUGGUAACCAUUUCUUGCUUAAAUAAAUAAAUUGGUUUCAUAGCGAAACCGACCCGCACUGCACAGAAAAAUGGUGUAACCGAAAUAAUCGGUUCAACCCUUUUGAAAUGUGAUUUCGGUUUGAAAUAUUGUAAAACCGAAAAAAGUGGUUCGGUUAUGGUUUGAGCCUUAAGCCGAUCCGAACCAAACCACGCCCACCCCUACCAUUCUGUUUGUUGUUGUCGAGAAAAAACUCCAUUCCGUUUGUUUCUUCUGCCAAAUGAUUUCAUAAAAGCUGAAUAGAAAACCUGACAUAAAUGAUGGUCGGAGAGCAAGAUAUUGUAGAAACAAACAAUAGUUACACACCCAGUGUCACAUCCCGGGACCCGUUCCGCCGUAACACGAUAUUGUCCGCUUUGGGCCCCCGGCCCUCACGGUUUUGUUUCCGGCAGCUCAGGAGCAACUUCCCAGUAGGUCACCCAUCCUGGGAUUGCUCUCGCAUCGACAUGCUUAACCUCGGAGUACCCAUCCCCUCCGAAGCCGCUGAGCCACCAAAAAGCCUCGUAUUAGGUUGGUGGGUGGGCAUGUACAUAUACAGCACACUAACCCCUCUCCGUUUNNNNNNNNNNNNNNNNNNNNGUGGGAUAUUACAAUCCACCCCCCUUGGGAGUCCGACGCCCUCGUCGGCACACUCGCACCACACGGCAGAGUGGCUCUGAUACCAUUUGUCACAUCCCGGGACCCGCUCCGUCGUAACACGAUAUUGUCCGCUUUGGGCCCCCGGCCCUCACGGUUUUGUUUCCGGCAGCUCAGGAGCAACUUCCCAGUAGGUCACCCAUCCUGGGAUUGCUCUCGCAUCGACAUGCUUAACCUCGGAGUACCCAUCCCCUCCGAAGCCGCUGAGCCACCAAAAGGCCUCGUAUUAGGUUGGUGGUGGACAUGUACAUAUACAGCACAUAACCCCUCUCCGUUUGGCCGAUGUGGGAUAUUACACCCAGAUUAUAGAAUAAGACAGAAAAUUACUACAAAAUGAGAGAGAGAGAGAGAGAGAGAGAGAGAGAGAGAGAGAGAGAGAGAGAUG